RNAcentral lists this unclassified non-coding RNA (490 nucleotides) under uncultured Glomus. RNAcentral's name for it is "SSU rRNA". It matches the Rfam family "Eukaryotic small subunit ribosomal RNA", at positions 569 to 1064 of the family's 1831-position model. Lineage: Eukaryota; Fungi; Glomeromycota; Glomeromycetes; Glomerales; Glomeraceae. The record is from RNAcentral.
AGCAGCCGCGGUAAUUCCAGCUCCAAUAGCGUAUAUUAAAGUUGUUGCAGUUAAAAAGCUCGUAGUUGAAUUUCGGGAUCAAUAUGUUGGUCGUGCCUCGGUACGUACUAGCAUAGUGGUUUCUCCUUUCUGAAGAACCAUGAUGUCAUUUAUUUGGUGUCGUGGGGAAUCAGGACUGUUACUUUGAAAAAAUUAGAGUGUUUAAAGCAGGCUCACGCUUGAAUACAUUAGCAUGGAAUAAUGAAAUAGGACGUUUGAUUCUAUUUUGUUGGUUUCUAGGAUCGACGUAAUGAUUAAUAGGGAUAGUUGGGGGCAUUAGUAUUCAAUUGUCAGAGGUGAAAUUCUUGGAUUUAUUGAAGACUAACUACUGCGAAAGCAUUUGCCAAGGAUGUCUUCAUUAAUCAAGAACGAAAGUUAGGGGAUCGAAGACGAUCAGAUACCGUCGUAGUCUUAACCAUAAAACUAUGCCGACUAGGGAUCGGAUGAUGUU